AAGCGGUGGAUGAUGUGGAUUAAUUCGAUGCAACGCGAAAACCUUACCUACCCUUGACAGUGUCCGGAAUCCCGAAGAGAUUUGGGAGUGCUCGCAAGGAGAACCGGAACACAGGUGCUGCAUGGCUGUCGUCAGCUCGUGUCGUGAGAUGUUGGGUUAAGUCCCGCAACGAGCGCAACCCUUGUCAUUAGUUGCCAUCAUUUGGUUGGGCACUCUAAUGAGACUGCCGGUGACAAACCGGAGGAAGGUGGGGAUGACGUCAAGUCCUCAUGGCCCUUAUGGGUAGGGCUUCACACGUCAUACAAUGGUCGGUACAGAGGGUUGCCAACCCGCGAGGGGGAGCUAACCCCACAAAGCCGAUCGUAGUCCGGAUCGCAGUCUGCAACUCGACUGCGUGAAGUCGGAAUCGCUAGUAAUCGUGGAUCAGCAUGUCACGGUGAAUACGUUCCCGGGUCUU
This 457-nucleotide ribosomal RNA is filed under the name uncultured Rhodocyclaceae bacterium. RNAcentral's name for it is "bacterial SSU rRNA". It matches the Rfam family "Bacterial small subunit ribosomal RNA", at positions 927 to 1382 of the family's 1533-position model. The record is from RNAcentral. Lineage: Bacteria; Pseudomonadati; Pseudomonadota; Betaproteobacteria; Rhodocyclales; Rhodocyclaceae.